AGAAAAAUCCCCAUGAGACUCUUAUCUCCAAUUAACCACCAGAAAACCAGAAGUGGUGCUGUGCCUCUACGUGGCAGAUCACUAGCCUAGAGUGAAAAAGCUGAGAGACAGC
Molecule: long non-coding RNA, 112 nt
Organism: Dipodomys spectabilis (banner-tailed kangaroo rat)
Lineage: Eukaryota; Metazoa; Chordata; Mammalia; Rodentia; Heteromyidae
Exons: 4
Source: RefSeq, a predicted model, not a curated record